RNAcentral lists this unclassified non-coding RNA (147 nucleotides) under uncultured Ascomycota. RNAcentral describes it as "sequence contains ITS2". Lineage: Eukaryota; Fungi; Ascomycota. The record is from RNAcentral.
CACCCCUCGAGCGCGGCUCGGCGUUGGGCCCGACCAGGCGGUCGGCCCUAAAGGCAGUGGCGGCGCCGCUAGUCUAGGCCCCGAGCGUAGUACGCAAGACCCUAGCUACGGGGCCCGGCGGCGGCCGGCCAGUAUAAGCGACGCAAU